RNAcentral lists this ribosomal RNA (802 nucleotides) under uncultured bacterium. RNAcentral describes it as "bacterial SSU rRNA". It matches the Rfam family "Bacterial small subunit ribosomal RNA", at positions 102 to 922 of the family's 1533-position model. The record is from RNAcentral.
ACGGGUGAGUAACGCGUAAGGAACUUGCCUCUUGGUCUGGGACAACUGUUGGAAACGACAGCUAAUACCGGAUAUUAUGAGAUUCUCGCAUGGGAAACUUAUGAAAGCUAUAUGCGCCAAGAGAGAGCCUUGCGUUCCAUUAGCUAGUUGGUGGGGUAACGGCCCACCAAGGCGACGAUGGAUAGCCGGCCUGAGAGGGUGAACGGCCACAAGGGGACUGAGACACGGCCCUUACUCCUACGGGAGGCAGCAGUGGGGAAUAUUGGACAAUGGGCCACAAGCCUGAUCCAGCAAUUCUGUGUGCACGAUGAAGGUCUUCGGAUUGUAAAGUGCUUUCAGUUGGGAAGAAGAAAGUGACGGUACCAACAGAAGAAGCGACGGCUAAAUACGUGCCAGCAGCCGCGGUAAUACGUAUGUCGCAAGCGUUAUCCGGAUUUAUUGGGCGUAAAGCGCGUCUAGGCGGAAAAAUAAGUCUGAUGUUAAAAUGCGGGGCUCAACUCCGUAUUGCGUUGGAAACUGUUUUUCUAGAGUACUGGAGAGGUGGGCGGAACUACAAGUGUAGAGGUGAAAUUCGUAGAUAUUUGUAGGAAUGCCGAUGGAGAAGUCAGCUCACUGGACAGAUACUGACGCUAAAGCGCGAAAGCGUGGGGAGCAAACAGGAUUAGAUACCCUGUAGUCCACGCCGUAAACGAUGAUCACUAUGUGUUGGGGGUCGAACCUCAGCGCCCAAGCUAACGCGAUAAGUGAUCCGCCUGGGGAGUACGCACGCAAGUGUGAAACUCAAAGGAAUUGACGGGGACCC